CUGAAAUUGCAUUUUAAUAAGGAGUCUUGACCUGUACUUUGUAUUUCCCUUCAAGGCUCUACAAGCCAUUUUUCUUAUGGAGGUCCUGACCUGAGAAGCUCAACCUGGAUAACCACAGCCAGAGGGGGAUAAAAUGCAACACCUAGGAGAUUUCAGUAAACAGUAAAACCAUUCCAACUUAAUCUGUGUUAAAAUGCUAGGAAUGUGAGAGCCACCGAUGAUGCCCCUUGUCUGUGUGUCUGACUGAAUCCUUUAUUUUCUGGGAGGAAAGCAGAGCCUGGGAACUAGGCCAGAUGCCUGCCACUUACCUUAAAUUGAUCAGCCACUUUAAGAUUAAAAACACUGAAAACUGCAACUCCAUGAAAACAAGGCUUCCUUCACAUUAAAUGCAAAAUGCAACAUUGGGCUUGCUGUGAUCUCUUUUUCCAUUUUGCUCAGUGUGCAGUUUUUCCAUUUCUGCUCAAAGGUCAGAGCAAGCAGAAAAGACACGUGACUUUCUGGCCUUGGAUGUCUUAGAAGCUGUAAGAUGCUGGCCCUCCAAUGAGUUGACUUAAUUAGGGGGAGUUCAGCCAGCUAAAGGAGGCCAAACGUAAAACAGAAAAAUAUACUCCCAUGGAGGCAGAUUAGGUUGGUUAAAAGGAGAAAAGCUUAUGUUAGUUUACACAACCUAAUGUUCAAGAGUGUCUGAUUUUAGAUUUGUCUCUACAUGUUUCUGCUUUUGUGGGAACCUCUGAAGUCACUGAGCACUAUGGCCAUGGCACAGGAAGACAGACAGUUCUAAGGCCUGGAGGUUUCCACUCAUAAGUACACAGCUACCUGGAAGGCAAAGGAGCAGAGACAUCUCUCCCCUGAACCUUGGAGAAUUAUUUUGGUGCCUUCUUUCCACCUACAUGGAAGAAGUCAAAAGCUAAAGAAAGCAACCAUUGCUCCAAAGAAUUUAUAGGAGAAACUUAAAUUUCGUUUUUGAAAAUGCAGCCAGUAAACUUGGAGACCUCUUUCUGUUUUCCACCAAGAUAAUACAUAAACACACUUGCGGAUUUAUAAGCUACAUAGAAUGCCUCUAGUGAGAAAGUGUAACCUCAAAGACAGAAGGCAAUAAAGAAUAUGUACCUCAGUGUACA
Molecule: long non-coding RNA, 1121 nt
Filed under: Cyanistes caeruleus (blue tit)
Lineage: Eukaryota; Metazoa; Chordata; Aves; Passeriformes; Paridae
Description: lncRNA (ENSCCEG00000016689.1)
Source: RNAcentral